CUAGGUUAUUUCUCAACCUAACACUACCUACACAUGCUAGUCAGUAAUGUAAAGUGUGAAGCUGUAGGGACAAUGUAGCCUGUUUUAAAUAACAAUGCAAAUAUUAAAUUUAAUAUUUUCAGGAGC
This is a non-coding RNA of Coccidioides immitis RMSCC 3703, 126 nucleotides long. The record is from Rfam. Lineage: Eukaryota; Fungi; Ascomycota; Eurotiomycetes; Onygenales; Onygenaceae.